UAAGGAAUAUUGGACAAUGGAGGCAACUCUGAUCCAGCCAUGCCGCGUGAAGGAAUAAGGCCCUAUGGGUUGUAAACUUCUUUUAGACGGGACAAAACCCCUUUACGUGUAAAGGGUUGAUGGUACUGUCAGAAUAAGCAUCGGCUAACUCCGUGCCAGCAGCCGCGGUAAUACGAAGGAUGCAAGCGUUAUCCGGAAUUAUUGGGUUUAAAGGGUGCGUAGGCGGACUAAUAAGUCAGUGGUGAAAGCCUGCAGCUUAACUGCAGAAUUGCCAUUGAUACUGUUAGUCUUGAGUACAGUUGAGGUAGGCGGAAUGUGUCAUGUAGCGGUGAAAUGCUUAGAUAUGACACAGAACACCGAUUGCGAAGGCAGCUUGCUAAGCUGUAACUGACGCUGAGGCACGAAAGCGUGGGGAGCAAACA
RNAcentral lists this ribosomal RNA (422 nucleotides) under uncultured bacterium. RNAcentral describes it as "bacterial SSU rRNA". It matches the Rfam family "Bacterial small subunit ribosomal RNA", at positions 355 to 774 of the family's 1533-position model. The record is from RNAcentral.